This 440-nucleotide ribosomal RNA is filed under the name Bifidobacterium breve. RNAcentral describes it as "bacterial SSU rRNA". It matches the Rfam family "Bacterial small subunit ribosomal RNA", at positions 60 to 506 of the family's 1533-position model. The record is from RNAcentral. Lineage: Bacteria; Bacillati; Actinomycetota; Actinomycetes; Bifidobacteriales; Bifidobacteriaceae.
AGUCGAACGGGAUCCAUCGGGCUUUGCCUGGUGGUGAGAGUGGCGAACGGGUGAGUAAUGCGUGACCGACCUGCCCCAUGCACCGGAAUAGCUCCUGGAAACGGGUGGUAAUGCCGGAUGCUCCAUCACACCGCAUGGUGUGUUGGGAAAGCCUUUGCGGCAUGGGAUGGGGUCGCGUCCUAUCAGCUUGAUGGCGGGGUAACGGCCCACCAUGGCUUCGACGGGUAGCCGGCCUGAGAGGGCGACCGGCCACAUUGGGACUGAGAUACGGCCCAGACUCCUACGGGAGGCAGCAGUGGGGAAUAUUGCACAAUGGGCGCAAGCCUGAUGCAGCGACGCCGCGUGAGGGAUGGAGGCCUUCGGGUUGUAAACCUCUUUUGUUAGGGAGCAAGGCAUUUUGUGUUGAGUGUACCUUUCGAAUAAACACCGGCUAACUACGU